GACGAACGCUGGCGGCGUGCCUAAUACAUGCAAGUAGAACGCACAGUUUAUACCGUAGCUUGCUACACCAUAAACUGUGAGUUGCGAACGGGUGAGUAACGCGUAGGUAACCUGCCUGGUAGCGGGGGAUAACUAUUGGAAACGAUAGCUAAUACCGCAUAAUAUUGAUUAUUGCAUGAUAAUUGAUUGAAAGAUGCUAUUGCAUCACUACCAGAUGGACCUGCGUUGUAUUAGCUAGUAGGUGAGGUAACGGCUCACCUAGGCGACGAUACAUAGCCGACCUGAGAGGGUGAUCGGCCACACUGGGACUGAGACACGGCCCAGACUCCUACGGGAGGCAGCAGUAGGGAAUCUUCGGCAAUGGACGAAAGUCUGACCGAGCAACGCCGCGUGAGUGAAGAAGGGUUUCGGAUCGUAAAGCUCUGUUGUAAGAGAAGAACGGGUGUGAGAGUGGAAAGUUCACACUGUGACGGUAGCUUACCAGAAAGGGACGGCUAACUACGUG
RNAcentral lists this ribosomal RNA (505 nucleotides) under uncultured bacterium. RNAcentral's name for it is "partial 16S ribosomal RNA". It matches the Rfam family "Bacterial small subunit ribosomal RNA", at positions 28 to 507 of the family's 1533-position model. The record is from RNAcentral.